RNAcentral lists this ribosomal RNA (253 nucleotides) under uncultured bacterium. RNAcentral describes it as "partial 16S ribosomal RNA". It matches the Rfam family "Bacterial small subunit ribosomal RNA", at positions 524 to 776 of the family's 1533-position model. The record is from RNAcentral.
UACGGAGGGUGCGAGCGUUGUCCGGAAUCACUGGGCGUAAAGGGCGCGUAGGCGGCCUGCUAAGUAGGGGGUGAAAUCCUGCGGCUUAACCGCAGGGCUGCCUUCUAAACUGUCAGGCUCGAGCACAGUAGAGGCAGGUGGAAUUCCCGGUGUAGCGGUGGAAUGCGUAGAGAUCGGGAAGGACAUCAGUGGCGAAGGCGGCCUGCUGGGCUGUUGCUGACGCUGAGGCGCGACAGCGUGGGGAGCAAACAGG